GUUAAGUAGCCCCCCACUAUAGUUGGCCAUGCUGCCAUAUGCAGUUUGCUGGAGGGACAGAGAAGGUUCUCUCAUCAGGGGGAGUCGACGUCGCAACCUUGCAGUCCACAGCGAGCCGCACUGCAUUCAUGUAGUUUGCGUGUACCAUGAAGUCCACUGUUAGCUCUCGUUUGUUACAAAAAUUUGGUGGUUCACUUCUGUUUAUGGAAAACACGAGGAGUAUACUUUCUUUUUGGAUGUGGUUCACUUGUACUAUGCGUUGGUUGAUUUUCAUGUUUUAAAAGUUUUGCACUUCCCAUGUUCAGUUUCCGAGAAGUUCUAAAUUGUUGCUGAUUUGGAAUGGGCAUAUGCAGUUCGGCAGAUGGUCAAGCAGUGCACCAUGGUCCACGGGCAUGGGAAGUGCGGCGUGUGGGUGCAUGCAGAGAAGGAGCAACAGCCAUGGAGUACUCCAGGAGCAGAUCAUGCCCAAAGGGACCACACCCAGGAGAUGGUCGUGGAUCAAACUGCUGCGCCCCGGGGCUGGUGCUUGUGAUGAGCGACGAGGAGAAGCAGGGACCUGGGAGCGCAUGGAUGAUGGAUGCGCGAAGGAUGAGCGCCUUGGACCUAGAUGAUGGAUUCGCCUGGGGCCUGGGAGCGACGGAGGAUGGACGCCUGGGAGUGCCGAGGAGAAGCGAUUUGAAAUCCUAGGAGCAAAGGGGGAAGACGACGAUGGGGAUAGCGAUUCAAAACAGGGGUAGCGUUGUAAAUUCCUUCAUUUCAAAACAGGGCCUCGAAAUGUUCUCUUCAACGCCAUAUAUUUCAAAACGGUGGGAGCAGUUUCAUGCCUAUAUUGAGCACCAUUGUGUCUCGCUCCCAUCACAAUUGAAUAUUUCUCCAUUGUAUUGUUAUCGUAUAUGAAUACGCAUGAUAAACCUGGAUUACUAUC
Molecule: long non-coding RNA, 925 nt
Organism: Triticum aestivum (bread wheat)
Lineage: Eukaryota; Viridiplantae; Streptophyta; Magnoliopsida; Poales; Poaceae
Exons: 2
Source: RefSeq, a predicted model, not a curated record